This 200-nucleotide ribosomal RNA is filed under the name uncultured bacterium. RNAcentral describes it as "partial 16S ribosomal RNA". It matches the Rfam family "Bacterial small subunit ribosomal RNA", at positions 28 to 235 of the family's 1533-position model. The record is from RNAcentral.
GACGAACGCUGGCGGUGUGCUUAAUACAUGCAAGUCGAACGAAGAGGCCCCUCGGGGUACUUCAGUGGCGGACGGCUGAGUAAUGCAUAGGUAACGUGCCCUUAACUGGGGGAUAACACCGGGAAACUGGUGCUAAUACCGCAUAAGUGUCAGGUUGAAAUACCUGCCAUUAAAGAAUUUCGGUUAAGGAUCGGCCUGUG